Molecule: transfer RNA, 73 nt
Filed under: Rickettsiaceae bacterium
Lineage: Bacteria; Pseudomonadati; Pseudomonadota; Alphaproteobacteria; Rickettsiales; Rickettsiaceae
Description: tRNA-Arg
Rfam family: tRNA
About the family: Transfer RNA (tRNA) molecules are approximately 80 nucleotides in length. Their secondary structure includes four short double-helical elements and three loops (D, anti-codon, and T loops).
Source: RNAcentral
GGGAAUGUUACUUAACUGGCAAAGUAGUACGCUUCUAAUGUACUUUAUGCAGGUUCGAGUCCUGUCACUUCCA